This is a non-coding RNA of Acanthosepion pharaonis, 89 nucleotides long. The record is from the annotation of a GenBank genome assembly. Lineage: Eukaryota; Metazoa; Mollusca; Cephalopoda; Sepiida; Sepiidae.
CGGUUCUCGUGUGAUCAUCGAAGUUAAGCAACAUAGAGCGUGGUCAGUACCUAGAUGGGUGACCUCUUGGAAAUACCAGGUGCUGUAAG